UUCUAGAUCUAGUCUAUGUCAAUCUAGAUCUAGAAUCCAAAUAAAAAACUGUAGAAAUAUUAAGUAUGAAUGUCAACUUAUUUGAUGAGCUAGAUGUAGGUCAGUAGCUGUAAUCUCUAAUUUACUAGACAAACGAUAAUGUCUAUUUCAACAAAUAGAUAAUGAUCUAGUUUCUAGUGACCGAGUCUUGUCUAGAUAUUUAGUCUAGACUAAACCUCGACUAAAUAUUAUGUAAAUA
Non-coding RNA from Biomphalaria pfeifferi, 238 nucleotides. The record is from the annotation of a GenBank genome assembly. NCBI's taxonomy places the organism in Eukaryota, Metazoa, Mollusca, Gastropoda, Planorbidae.